AUGCACGCUGGCGGCGUGCCUAAUCCAUGCAAGUCGAGCGAACGGACGAGAAGCUUGCUUCUCUGAUGUUAGCGGCGGACGGGUGAGUAACACGUGGAUAACCUACCUAUAAGACUGGGAUAACUUCGGGAAACCGUAGCUAAUACCGGAUAAUAUUUUGAACCGCAUGGUUCCAAAGUGAAAGACGGUCUUGCUGUCACUUAUAGAUGGAUCCGCGCUGCAUUAGCUAGUUGGUAAGGUAACGGCUUACCAAGGCAACGAUGCAUAGCCGACCUGAGAGGGUGAUCGGCCACACUGGAACUGAGACACGGUCCAGACUCCUACGGGAGGCAGCAGUAGGGAAUCUUCCGCAAUGGGCGAAAGCCUGACGGAGCAACGCCGCGUGAGUGAUGAAGGUCUUCGGAUCGUAAAACUCUGUUAUUAGGGAAGAACAUAUGUGUAAGUAACUGUGCACAUCUUGACGGUACCUAAUCAGAAAGCCACGGCUAACUACGUG
This 496-nucleotide ribosomal RNA is filed under the name uncultured bacterium. RNAcentral's name for it is "partial 16S ribosomal RNA". It matches the Rfam family "Bacterial small subunit ribosomal RNA", at positions 29 to 507 of the family's 1533-position model. The record is from RNAcentral.